Brassica oleracea var. oleracea is the source of this 689-nucleotide long non-coding RNA. RefSeq lists it as uncharacterized. NCBI's taxonomy places the organism in Eukaryota, Viridiplantae, Streptophyta, Magnoliopsida, Brassicales, Brassicaceae. The transcript is spliced from 3 exons. The record is from RefSeq and is a predicted model, not a curated record.
CUUUUCCUUGCUUCUUGUGAAGAGAGAAGUAUUAACAAAGAAGCAAAGAAAGAUAAGUGAUAGAGAGAAGAAACAAAAAGUGGACAAGAGUGGAGGAAGAAAGGUGAUGGAUGAGAUAAGGAGCUUUGAGAAGACAAAUUUGUUCGAUCUUGGCCAUCCUCUUAUCAACCGCAUCGCUGACUCGUUCGUCAAAGCCUCCGGUCGGAGCUUUACAAGCUGUGUCUAGGGAAGCUUACUUCACGGUGGUUGAUGGGGCAGGGUUUGACGCAAGCAGCAUGGGUCCACCUUCUGAGAAUGCCGGUAGCAAGAAACAUAGGUUUCCCAAUCUCAGAGGUUGGUUAACAAUGUUAUGCAAUUGCAAUCAUGAGAUUUGUACGGUUUGAUGUGUUUAAAAUUUGCAGUGUUUUGCGGGGCAGCCUGAGAUUGAGGGGGCUUUAGGCGGUUUAAAAAAAAUUUCAGCUAUAAUUUUUUUAUUGGUAAAUUUGGAAGUCUAAAAAAAAAAUUUUAGGUAUUUUUUUCUAUGUAAUUUUUUCCAAAAUUUUUGGGGGCCCAAAGCUAAUGUUUCGUUAGGCUUUGCCAUGACCGGCCCUGGUGUUUUGUAAACUAUGAUUAACUUAUGUUGAUAGUACUAUUUGGGUUGCUUUUUCAGGGGAAAGUAGCAAAUCGCUGGAGGCAUUGGCCAGUAUUUU